CCUACGGGAGGCAGCAGUGGGGAAUAUUGGACAAUGGGGGCAACCCUGAUCCAGCCAUGCCGCGUGUGUGAAGAAGGCCCUCGGGUUGUAAAGCACUUUCAGUGAGGAAGAACGCCUGGUGGUUAAUACCCAUCAGGAAAGACAUCACUCACAGAAGAAGCACCGGCUAACUCCGUGCCAGCAGCCGCGGUAAUACGGAGGGUGCGAGCGUUAAUCGGAAUUACUGGGCGUAAAGCGCGCGUAGGUGGCUUGAUAAGCCGGUUGUGAAAGCCCCGGGCUCAACCUGGGAACGGCAUCCGGAACUGUCAAGCUAGAGUGCAGGAGAGGAAGGUAGAAUUCCCGGUGUAGCGGUGAAAUGCGUAGAGAUCGGGAGGAAUACCAGUGGCGAAGGCGGCCUUCUGGACUGACACUGACACUGAGGUGUGAAAGCGUGGGUAGCAAACAGGAUUAGAUACCCCUGUAGUC
RNAcentral lists this ribosomal RNA (465 nucleotides) under Vreelandella stevensii. RNAcentral describes it as "partial 16S ribosomal RNA". It matches the Rfam family "Bacterial small subunit ribosomal RNA", at positions 338 to 795 of the family's 1533-position model. Lineage: Bacteria; Pseudomonadati; Pseudomonadota; Gammaproteobacteria; Oceanospirillales; Halomonadaceae. The record is from RNAcentral.